CAGAACGAACGCUGGCGGCAUGCCUAACACAUGCAAGUCGAACGGGCGUAGCAAUACGUCAGUGGCAGACGGGUGAGUAACGCGUGGGAACAUACCUCUUGGUUCGGAACAACACAGGGAAACUUGUGCUAAUACCGGAUAAGCCCUUACGGGGAAAGAUUUAUCGCCGAGAGAUUGGCCCGCGUCUGAUUAGCUAGUUGGUAGGGUAAUGGCCUACCAAGGCGACGAUCAGUAGCUGGUCUGAGAGGAUGAUCAGCCACAUUGGGACUGAGACACGGCCCAAACUCCUACGGGAGGCAGCAGUGGGGAAUAUUGGACAAUGGGCGCAAGCCCGAUCCAGCCAUGCCGCGUGAGUGAUGAAGGCCCUAGGGUUGUAAAGCUCUUUUGUACGGGAAGAUAAUGACGGUACCGUAAGAAUAAGCCCCGGCUAACUUCGUG
This 438-nucleotide ribosomal RNA is filed under the name uncultured bacterium. RNAcentral's name for it is "bacterial SSU rRNA". It matches the Rfam family "Bacterial small subunit ribosomal RNA", at positions 25 to 507 of the family's 1533-position model. The record is from RNAcentral.